Molecule: non-coding RNA, 117 nt
Filed under: Gorilla gorilla gorilla (western lowland gorilla)
Lineage: Eukaryota; Metazoa; Chordata; Mammalia; Primates; Hominidae
Source: Rfam by way of RNAcentral
GCCGGGCAUGGUGGCUCAUGCCUGUAAUCCCAGCACUUUGGGAGGCUGGGGCAGGUGGAUCACCUGAGGUCAGGAGUUUGAGACCAGCCUGACCAACAUGGUGAAACCCUGUCUCUA